RNAcentral lists this ribosomal RNA (489 nucleotides) under Triticum aestivum (bread wheat). RNAcentral's name for it is "partial small subunit ribosomal RNA". Lineage: Eukaryota; Viridiplantae; Streptophyta; Magnoliopsida; Poales; Poaceae. The record is from RNAcentral.
AUGGAUAUGGAACACGAAAUACCAAAAAAAUUAGGUGUACUUACUACUCAUGGAGAUAAGGAAUCUCCUAAAACCCUCGAUGCUGGUUAUGUGAAAGAUAUUAUGUACUACUUUAAUAAUCACGAGAAAACCCCAUUCAAUUAUGUAAUGGGAGUAAUGUUGGAUCAACGCGAAUACUUUAGGGAUUAUCGCUUGACACAAAAAGGGAAACUAUUAUGGGAUCAAAUUCAUAUAUUGAAUUGGUAUGCUAGGCAACUAUGCUUGAGAUGUGAUUAUACUUGUUGCUCUAGGAUGAAGGCUCCACACCUUCCCUUUUUAUGUGAAUUUAAUGAUAAUAAAAUCUUAGCUUCUUAUGCUAAUGGUAUAUAUGAUUACUAUGAUGUGGAACAAAUAGAAGAAUUUGUUGCUUUUAUGGGUGCUUAUGAAAUUGAAUCUAUGUUUAAAGAGUUUGAAGAUUUGAUGAUUCAGUUUAUAGACCUAAAAAUUUAG